Non-coding RNA from Drosophila simulans, 87 nucleotides. NCBI's taxonomy places the organism in Eukaryota, Metazoa, Arthropoda, Insecta, Diptera, Drosophilidae. The record is from Rfam.
CUUACUUAAUUGAUGACAACUUCAUACUCAAAUCAGAGAAAUUAUGUUGAAAUCCUCUUAACAUGCAUCACCAUCUGAAUAACAAAU